Molecule: ribosomal RNA, 254 nt
Filed under: uncultured bacterium
Lineage: Bacteria
Description: partial 16S ribosomal RNA
Rfam family: Bacterial small subunit ribosomal RNA
Source: RNAcentral
UACGUAGGGUGCGAGCGUUGUCCGGAAUUAUUGGGCGUAAAGAGCUCGUAGGCGGUCUGUCGCGUCGGUCGUGAAAACUUGGGGCUUAACCCUGAGCUUGCGGUCGAUACGGGCAUGACUGGAGUUCGGUAGGGGAGACUGGAAUUCCUGGUGUAGCGGUGAAAUGCGCAGAUAUCAGGAGGAACACCGGUGGCGAAGGCGGGUCGCUGGGCCGAUACUGACGCUGAGGAGCGAAAGCGUGGGGAGCGAACAGG